GGAUGGUUUAAGACGAUCUGGCUGUGACAUCUGUCAUCCCAUUGAUAGUAGGGUUAAUUUGGCUGAUCUAGCUGGCUAAGUGGGGGACCCCUUCCUCUCUCACCACUCCAUGUGCAUCCUUCCUGAAGCUGCAUGCUCUGUAAAAGAGGACAACCUUCUUCAAUAGAGGAAGACCACCAUUCAGUCAAGAGUAUAGGAGUAGAUGCUCCCCUGAAGCUUCACACAAGUUCUCAAGUUCCAUUUGUAGAAGAACAUCAGGUAGUCAAGCUUCCAAGACUCCAGACACAGAUGAGGCGCUGUGUGUGGCAGUCCACCUUUCUGU
This 322-nucleotide small nuclear RNA is filed under the name Vicugna pacos (alpaca). RNAcentral's name for it is "7SK RNA (ENSVPAG00000017292.1)". It matches the Rfam family "7SK RNA". Rfam says of the family: 7SK was discovered as an abundant small nuclear RNA in the mid-70s but a possible function has only recently been suggested. Lineage: Eukaryota; Metazoa; Chordata; Mammalia; Artiodactyla; Camelidae. The record is from Rfam by way of RNAcentral.